Molecule: long non-coding RNA, 1018 nt
Organism: Gossypium raimondii (Peruvian cotton)
Lineage: Eukaryota; Viridiplantae; Streptophyta; Magnoliopsida; Malvales; Malvaceae
Exons: 2
Source: RefSeq, a predicted model, not a curated record
AACACUAGCUUGAACAACACUAUGUUUAGCCUAACAUGUUUUAUUCCCAUGAUAAUGUCCGAUCAUUAGAACAAGUUUCCUUGAAGUGUGUUCUUUUCAAUCCAAACCCACCAUGUGAUCUACCUUUUGCUUCACUCAAAACCCUUUGCUUCUUUGAUCGUGCGAUUGAGGAUGAAACUUUAAAGGCGUUGGUUUCUAAGUUCCCUGUUCUUGAAGGCUUCACAAUUGACCGGUGCCAUAGAUUACGUAACUUUAAAGUUUCUUGGUGUCAAAGUAUGAUGCAUAGUUGACCAUGAUUUGAAUCUAGAAAUUGAUGUGUCAAGUUUGUCUACUUUUAAAUUCUGUGGAGAUUUAAUGAAGAUUUCUUUCACUUCUUUGCCUUCCAUUGUUGAAGCCACCGUUUUUCAAUGGAGUUAUAGAACAUAUGGGCAAGAAUUUUCCAUUAGAACAUGGUUAACAAAUCUUGUCCAUGUAAAGGAACUCAGUGUGAAUUCUUGGUUUUCUCAGUUUCUUGCUAGAGAACAUUAGGUAAACAAAAAUGGAUGGAAGAUUUUCAAAAAUCUUAAGCUCUUUUCUUGGUUUGGUCCAUCGGCAAAAGAGUGUGAGCUCAUGGCGCUAAUUGCCUCCUUGGGUUAUUGCCCCUCUUUGGGGAUGAUUGAAAUAGAUGUGAGUAAUUACUCAGUUUCCCUAAUUCUCAUCAUUCUAUUUGCAUAUGAUUCUUGAUGGAUUUGCAGUUUAGAUCUUCGUAUUGGGAAGAAGCUGGUGGGAGUAGACCAGCUUUUGCUUUGGAGCCUCCUUUUGUUGAGCUGAAAAAAGGAGAUGGGACAACUAAAAACAGAGUUUCUGCAUAAUGUGAAGGAUAUUAGUGUACAUAAUUUCUUUGGCUAUAAAAGUGAGAUUGAAUUUAUUAAGCAUCUGUUGCAGCAGGCAGUUGUUCUUGAGACGUUAUCUUUAACCUAUCAUAGACUUGAAUUUGAUCCUGAAUUUAGUGAUAGAUUAGUUGAAGAGGAAAUUUUUA